AUUUAAAUAGUUUAAUAAAAUAUUGAUUUGUGAUAUCAAAGAUACAGUAAUUGUUUUAAAUUAUU
Molecule: transfer RNA, 65 nt
Filed under: Sphenoraia micans
Lineage: Eukaryota; Metazoa; Arthropoda; Insecta; Coleoptera; Chrysomelidae
Description: tRNA-His
Source: RNAcentral